RNAcentral lists this ribosomal RNA (392 nucleotides) under Pseudomonas aeruginosa. Its description in RNAcentral is "bacterial SSU rRNA". It matches the Rfam family "Bacterial small subunit ribosomal RNA", at positions 1142 to 1533 of the family's 1533-position model. The record is from RNAcentral. Lineage: Bacteria; Pseudomonadati; Pseudomonadota; Gammaproteobacteria; Pseudomonadales; Pseudomonadaceae.
AAGGAGACUGCCGGUGACAAACCGGAGGAAGGUGGGGAUGACGUCAAGUCAUCAUGGCCCUUACGGCCAGGGCUACACACGUGCUACAAUGGUCGGUACAAAGGGUUGCCAAGCCGCGAGGUGGAGCUAAUCCCAUAAAACCGAUCGUAGUCCGGAUCGCAGUCUGCAACUCGACUGCGUGAAGUCGGAAUCGCUAGUAAUCGUGAAUCAGAAUGUCACGGUGAAUACGUUCCCGGGCCUUGUACACACCGCCCGUCACACCAUGGGAGUGGGUUGCUCCAGAAGUAGCUAGUCUAACCGCAAGGGGGACGGUUACCACGGAGUGAUUCAUGACUGGGGUGAAGUCGUAACAAGGUAGCCGUAGGGGAACCUGCGGCUGGAUCACCUCCUUA